CUGGAGGUAUCAGAAGUGCGAAUGCUGACAUAAGUAACGAUAAAGCGGGUGAAAAGCCCGCUCGCCGGAAGACCAAGGGUUCCUGUCCAACGUUAAUCGGGGCAGGGUGAGUCGACCCCUAAGGCGAGGCCGAAAGGCGUAGUCGAUGGGAAACGGGUUAAUAUUCCCGUACUUGGUGUUACUGCGAAGGGGGGACGGAGAAGGCUAUGUUGGCCGGGCGACGGUUGUCCCGGUUUAAGCGUGUAGGUGUGUGUUCCAGGUAAAUCCGGUUCACUUUAACACUGAGGCGUGACGACGAGGCACUACGGUGCUGAAGCAACAAAUGCCCUGCUUCCAGGAAAAGCCUCUAAGCAUCA
Molecule: ribosomal RNA, 356 nt
Filed under: Salmonella enterica subsp. enterica serovar Agona
Lineage: Bacteria; Pseudomonadati; Pseudomonadota; Gammaproteobacteria; Enterobacterales; Enterobacteriaceae
Description: partial 23S ribosomal RNA
Rfam family: Bacterial large subunit ribosomal RNA
Source: RNAcentral